RNAcentral lists this ribosomal RNA (566 nucleotides) under uncultured archaeon. Its description in RNAcentral is "bacterial SSU rRNA". It matches the Rfam family "Archaeal small subunit ribosomal RNA", at positions 312 to 879 of the family's 1478-position model. The record is from RNAcentral.
CGCGAAUCGCCCUUCGGGGUGCCCAGGCGCGAAAACUUUACAUGCUGGAAACAGCGAUAAGGGGACCUCGAGUGCCAGGAUACAAUCUUGGCUGUCGUGAUGCCUAAAAAGCAUUACAUAGCAGGGGCCGGGCAAGACCGGUGCCAGCCGCCGCGGUAACACCGGCGGCUCGAGUGGUAACCGCUAUUAUUGGGUCUAAAGGGUCUGUAGCCGGCCGGAUAAGUCUCUUGGGAAAUCCAGCACCUCAACUGUUGGGCUUCCAGGGAGAUACUGUUCGGCUCAAGGCCGGGAGAGGUGAGAGGUACUUCAGGGGUAGGGGUGAAAUCUUGUAAUCCUUGAAAGACCACCAGUGGCGAAGGCGUCUCACCAAAACGGUCCUGACGGCAAGGGACAAACGCUAGGGGCACGAACCAGAUUAUAUACCCGGGUAGUCCUAUCCGUAAACGAUACUCGCUAGGUGUCAUCCACGGUGCGACCGUGGUUGGUGCCGUAGGGAACCCGUGAAUCGAGCCACCUGGAAAGUACGGCCGCAAGGCUGAAACUUAAAGGAAUUGGCGGGAGAGCAC